Non-coding RNA from Pelobates cultripes (western spadefoot toad), 3256 nucleotides. NCBI's taxonomy places the organism in Eukaryota, Metazoa, Chordata, Amphibia, Anura, Pelobatidae. The record is from the annotation of a GenBank genome assembly.
CAGUGCUAAAUCCCUAAACUUAGAGAAAAAUAGAAUAUACUAUAUUUUCAUUUAGUCCCUUAGGGGCCACAGUAUCCAGCUUGUAGAUCCAAAACGCUUCUCGCUGUAAUAAAGCUUCAGAUCUGUCACCCCCACGGGCAAGAGGGGGGACAUGAUCAAUCGCUAUAAAUCUUAAUGUAGGCAGAUGAUGUUGUGCUGCCAAAAAAUGUUUGGCGACUGGUUUUUCUGUUUUAUUAUCUUGGAAAGCUGUCAUAAGCUGUCAUAAUUCCAGAGCGAUGACCACGUAUGCGAUCUCGUAAUGUCAAAUCAGUUUUUCCUAUAUAGGAAAGUCCACACGGGCAGGUAAUCAUGUAGAUAACAUGGUCAGUGGUACAAGUAAUGUAAUGAGAUAUAGGUAUACGUUUGCCGCUUUGUGGGUGGCUGAAUGUUGUACCACUGAUCAUGUGACUGCAUGUCACACAACCGGAGCAUUUGUAGCAUCCUUUCUUUUUGAUAGUCGAUUGUCUUUUGUAGCAUUGAAUAGGGUCACUUUUCACUAAUAAAUCCCGAAGAUUUAUUUCUUUUAUAGCUUAUAAUCGGCUUUUCUUGAAAUAUAUGAGGAAGAUUGCAAUCCGCCUCGAGAAUGUCCCAAUGUCUUUGUAUCGAGUCUCUCAUUUUCAAUGUACCAGUGUGGAAAGUUAUCGGUAAAAAAACAUUAUUAUGUGAUUGUAGCUUGGUCUUAACUGUAGUGAUUUUUUCAUCAUCAAAUCGUUUAACAGCUUGACUCUUGGCUUUAUCCAAUACCCGUGGGUGAUAGCCUCGUGCAAGAAAACGAUCAUACAUCUCUUGAAGUUGUAGAUCCCUAGAAGAUAUUUCACUGUUAUAGCGAAGUACCCUAAGAAACUGUGAUAUGGGUAAAGCAUCCUUCAGAUGUUGGGGAUGGAAGCUAGUCGCCAAGAGAAGUGUAUUACGAUCAGUCUGUUUCCUAUAUAACGUAUAACAUAAUUUAUGUUUAUCCACAUGUUUGUAUACCAAGACAUCCAAGUAUUGUAUAGAUGUUGCAUGCCCUGUUGGUGUAAGUAUAAUGGGUAUCGGUGAGGAAUUAACGGUUUAAACCAUAUUCUUUAGUUACUCUAUUGUACCAUCCCAAAUAAGAAAAAUAUCAUCCACAUACCGAAUGUAUGUCAAGAUCUUGUAUUGAUAUACCGGUAGAAUGUAUUUAUUUUCAAACCAAAACAUAAAAGAAUUUGCAUAUGAGGGCGCCAUAGCCGCCCCCAUAGCUGUGCCUGCUAUCUGAAGGAAAAAUUGUUCCUCAAAUUUAAAAUAAUUGCAAGUGAGCGCAAUAGAAAGAAAUUCAAUAAGAUAUUCUAUGGGAGGACCUUUAUACAUGUCUGAGCUACAUAACAUUUCUCGGGCAGCUUGAAUACCAAGAUCAUGAGGUAUGACGGUAUAUAAACUUUGUACGUCAAGUGUGACAAGAAGAGUAUCCCUGUCGUUGGGUAAAUGUAUCUGUCGAAUAUGUUCUAAAAAUUCAGGUGUGUCUUUCAAACAGGUCGGAAGUUCUUUCACCAAAUUCUUAAUGUAGUAAUCCACAUAUUGUGCAAUUGGUUCGAUAAUAUAAUAUUUGCAGACACAAUGGGUCUGCCCGGUGGAUUUACAGAAUCUUUAUGUAAUUUCGGAAGUGUGUAAAGCACCAGGUGUCUAGGAAAUGGUACAUGAAGAAAAGCAGCUGUCUUCUGAUCUAAAUAUCCAGCGUGUAAUCCAAAAUUGAUGUGGUCAUCAAUAAUUUUUUGAAAUUUAUGUAUAGGAUCAAAAGUGAAUCUGCGAUAUGUCGUCUCAUCAUUCAGCUGGCGGAGAAUCUCCAGUUUGUAUUUAGUAUACGCCUGAAUUACUAUUGCACCGCCUUGGUCGGCCGGCCUGAUGACAAUAGAAGGAUCUCGCAUUAAAUCCAUUAGUGCUGAUUUUUCUUCUUUUGUUAAAUUGUAUCUGUGUUUAGGUGGUCUCUCGGAUAUUUGCAAUACAUCUUUAUGGACCGCUUGGGUAAACGUUUUAAUUGAGCUAUUAUUGCUAUAUAUCUCCUUUUUACUUCUUAAUGUAAACGGAUGAUCUUGUGUCUUUUUAUAUCUUUCCGGAUUUCAUUCAUACAUAGAAUUCUCUGGAGCUUAUACAUUUCUUUUUGAACUUGAAAAUGAUCUGGUUUACAGACCGGAAUAAAUGUGGUCCCUUAUUAAGAACUGAUAGAUGAUAUGGAUUCAGCUCUUUACCUGACAGAUUAUAUACAGGCGUCAUCGCUUCUUUAUAGGAGGUUUGGCGUUGUAAUUUGUAUUUCUUCUGCCCUCUUCGUAUGGGCUUGUUCCUUUUACGCCUUGGGUACGUGUUUCAGAUCACACAGGUGGAUCGUUGGUGUGUGCACCCUUGUCUAAAAAAGAUAGUUUUGGAUGUGUGUUGUACCUCUUUGCUUUCCGCAUCAGAUGCCGACUCCCCUGAACUCAUAUCAGUCGUUUGAAAAGAAGGUUUACGUAUACGCGAUUUAAAUUUAGGAUAUGUAUAUCUAGUAGGUUCAGACCCACUAAGCACUCGACUAUCCACCUGAUUGGAAACCUGAUCAGUCAAGGCAACCUUCUUCUAUAGCUCCAUGGUCCAAUUCUGAUGCUCACCUCCCCAUUGAAGGCACUUUUCGACAGAGGACAAAGGUAAUCAUGGGCACUCUGACCAGUCCUCAGCUACAAAGCCCCAUACGGAAUAAUCAGUGAUGCACUGUAUGUAGCAUUCAUGUUUCUGCUACAGUAGCUCUUCACUCCCCAAAUGCAUCAAUGAACCUCAGGCGCACAUGACCCUGGUUCACCAGUUGUCCUUCCUUGCCUCACUUUUGGUUGGUAUUAACCAGUGCAUACUUGUGAACACACCACAAGAUGUGCCAUUUUGAAGAUGCUCUGACUCAGUCAUCUAGCUAUCACUAUAUGACCUUGUUAAAGUCACUUAGAUCAUCUUUUUGCUUGCCCAUUUUUCCUGGUUCCAACACAUGAAAUUCAAGGACUGUUCACUUGCUGCAUAAUAUAUCCGACUUUUAUACAGGUGCCAUUGUUACUAUAUAAUCAAUGUUAUUCACUUCACAUGUCAUGGGUUUUAAUGUUGUGAUUGAUCAGUAAAUGCCCAACUUUGCCACUGGUGAUGAGAUUGAAAAGAAUACUGAGCCAGAUAGUAAAAGGUGCAAAUGUGAUAAUUUUAUUUGAAUUGAACAAAAAAUACAAUUUCACCAUGUCACAUUUCUGUAAAU